This 9078-nucleotide long non-coding RNA is filed under the name Solanum tuberosum (potato). RNAcentral describes it as "long non-coding RNA (STUB_LNC004057)". The record is from RNAcentral. Lineage: Eukaryota; Viridiplantae; Streptophyta; Magnoliopsida; Solanales; Solanaceae.
UUGACAAAGCAGCCCACCAAUACCAUAUUAAGUGGCUCUGUUUGGGUUCCGAGUUGAUAUAUAGAUACUUGUGGGAGCAAAAUAGGUUUAUGCGAAUAUUGGUGGAGUGUCAGUAUCUCCUCAUUCCCGUUCUAUCUGUUAUUCUCACCCCCCUUUUUUAGUCUACGCUUCUCAUCUCCCUUCUAUCCUUUGUUACAAUUCCUUGUUAUCCUUUCAACUACCUUGUUGAUCUUUAGCUUUCCAUUGUAAUAGUUAGUUUGAGCAUUCAAUCAAAGGAAUUGAUUCCUUGUAGUUGAGCAUUUAAGUGUUCACUUCAGAAGAUCUAUCAAGAAUGGUUCAGUUUCGCUAAUUCAGGUAAUAUAUUCUCUCAUUUUUAUGUGUUAUUCAAAUAAGAGAACAAAGGAAUUUUGAAUAAUGGGGUUAUUGGGUACAGAUGUAGAUGAAAGCCUCACUGGAGGAGAUGCCACCAAGCUAUUUGCCAUGUCCAAUUUGCCUCGUCAAGAGCUCAAGCAGGUUCUUUUCUUUUCUACUUCCUUUAUUUCCUUAAUAUCGUUCACUUGUACCCAAUAACCCCAUUAUUCGAGUGAGCCGUUAUUUUCUUAGAUAGUGUAUAUAUGGUCAAAAUUAAUUUAUUAUAUGGCAGAUCUUGAAUCCUCUUGACUCCUUCGUAUGCUUGCAUCUUUAUAUUUUGAAUCUCCCUAUUGAAAAUCCUGUCUCCGCCAUUGCAUGCACCUGUCUAGAAACCUUGUUUUAAUGUUUGUCAAUGCUUUGGCAAGAGCUCAAGUGCAGUAUGUGCUUUGUCUCAAGUUUGUAACACCGACAGCCAAUUAAAUAAUUUGAAAAAAAUGAAUAUAACUUAAAUAAUAUGGUGAAACUGGCUGCUGGGUGAAAAUAACACCUUCUUUUAUACAUAUACCUUUGUGCAAUAUAUUUACAGAUAAACUGAUUUUAAACAAUUUUAGAAGUUCUCAAUCUCGCGUAACACACACAUAAUCAGGCUGUGAGCUGAAAAUCCUCUAGACUUUGCGUGGAACUAUAAUAAAAAUUCAUGUAGACUAUAGUAUUUUGAAUUUAGACAAUGUUAGCACUAGUUAAAAUGCAUGUUUUUAGCGGACUGUGCUACGCUCAUAUAGAAGACAAAACACAUGAAAGAUGUUCGAACAAGGUACGUACUAAAAAAUUCAUGAGGACUACAAAAUGAACAAUUUCCUUUAUUACAAUGGAUAGAUACAAAUAACAGAUAAAUUGAAAACCAAAGCUGAACUAGAGAGUCUUUGGAUAAUCAGCAAUCCCCUCAAAGGCAAAAUUCCCUUUCUUUUCAUCAUUACUGGGGAAGAUGGCAAUACUAAUUAACAAUACAGGGACAACAAAUUAAUAGGAAAAGAAAAGCUGCAAAAUUUAGAGCCGGGAUGAUCCAAUAGGAUGAUGUAUGACAAUGUUAUUGUAGGCAUCAAGAGUCAUAAAAUCAUCCAAAACUGGUGCAGUGCAUUGCCUUGUGAAUAACUUGCAAGCCACCUCGUACAUUCCCUUCUUGAAUUUCUCCUUUCCAACUUCUCUCUCAAUCCUAGCCAUUUCAUCCUCAACCACUCUUCCAAACAGGUCUAAGUUCACUUUCACCCCAAGUCCAUCCCCAUCCAAUUCCACACCAUAUUUCAGCCACUGCCAAUUCUGGACUCUGCUAAUCUCAGCUGCGGCAGCUUCCUCCAUGAAGUUGUAAAGAGGGACACAACCAAGGCCUGUCAGCCAGGCUGCCAAGUACUGAAUUCCCACUCGGGUGUUCAGCCGAAGGCACUCCAAGGUACAGACCCCUCUCGGCCUCUGCAGCAGGUCUUCUUCAUCUAGAAUGGAUGCAUCUUGGCGCUUCAUGGAAUGGAUUUGGUUUGGGGAAUUGCCCAUGUUGUUAGUGAAGACUUCCAUGCAUGCUGGAACUAGGCCAGGGUGAGUAACCCAUGUCCCAUCAUGCCCCGCCGUCACUUCUCUUAGCUUAUCCUUCCUUACAAGUUCCAAUGCUGCCUCAUUAGCUGCCGGAUCAUCUCUAAUUGGAAUAUGAGCUGCCUGUUUCAAGGAUCCAGCACAGCUAUUAUGCAUCAAUUUGAUCAUGUACAAGAAGAUUCCAAAUUAACCUAAUGCAGAAAUUGGAAAUUACUCCAGAUGUUGUUUUUUUCCAGAUAUUGUAAAACUAAUAAAAAAUAAAAAAUUGGUGUUGGGUUGAUAAUCACACGAGUAUCAAAGGAUGACAAUAUUGCAGCCAACACACUAACCGGCUUUGGAUCUUUCAUACAUAUCAACAACCACUAAAGUAUUUCCUAUUGUACUCCUACAUCGCUCCAAUGUGGGAACGAUCAUGUGCAUACUUUUUAAUAUCAUAACAUCCUACUAGCAUGCAAAUGUUUUCGUGUCCAUAUGUUUGGUAAUUUAUACAUUUUAUUUGAGUUCCUAAUAAAAAUAAUACAAAUAUGCUUGUGUAAAAUUAUUUAAAGAACAUAGAAUUAAAAAAAGAAACUGAAUUGAUGUAGACAUACCAUGCCUCCCAUAGCAUGGACUCCACGCUUAUGACAAGUGUGGAUGAGUAAGUCGGAGUAACUCCUCAUAAAGUGUUGAGCCAUGCCAACUUGUGUCCUAUCGGGGAGCAAUCGAUCAGGGUGACCCUGGAAUGUCUUGAUGUAGCUGAAAAUGUAAUCCCAUCUACCACAAUUGAGGCCAACAGAAUGGUCCCUCAGUUCAUACAAGAUUUCAUUCAUCUGAAACACAGCUGGAAGUGUUUCAAUUAGGGCAGUAGCCCUAAUGCUUCCUUUCUCAAUUCUAACCCAUUUCUCUGCCCUCUCAAACACAUUGUUCCAUAUCCUAGCUUCCCUGAUCAAACAAAACAAAAACUGCUACAUUUUCUUGGAAUAUAAUUCUCAAGACUAUAUAAAUUUACUAACAAGAACACAACUAACCUAGAAUGUUCCAUUUUGGGUAGAUAGAAAAAGGGUCCAGAUCCUUGACCUUGGGCCUUGCGGAAGUUGGCAUAGUUGUGGAAAAAGUAGAGGCCGAAGUCGACAAGGCAACCCGUGGCAGGCUCACCAUCAAUGAAAAUGUGAGCUUCUGGCAAGUGCCACCCUCUUGGGCGCACAAACAACUUAGCUGUCUGAUCAUUCAGUUUAUAUACUUUAUUUCUGGCUUGAUCAUGGAAUGUUAUUGUUCUAUUGACUGCAUCCCUCAAAUUUAUAUGGCCUCUCAUUAGAUUCUCCCAGCUUGGUGACAGUGCAUCUUCAAAGUCCGCCUGUGGAAUAUUAUAUUAUGAACUGCAUUGCAAUGAUAUGCAGAAAGAAAAACAAAAUGCACAUAUUCUGGAUAUGCUUCCACUCCAAAUUGAGGUUAAUUACUUACAUAAAGGUCUAGUGCUACCAUUAGUUUUGCUCAAUUAUUUCCUUCAAUGUAAUUCACACUGGCCUUUUUUUCGUUUUUCUUAGUUAUAUUAAAAUGAGAGUUCUUCUGUUCUACUAUUAACUUGGGAAGGGAGAUGCGACAGGGGAUAUGGCAUACCAUGAAAACUUUGGCUCUAGAAUUAAGGGCAUCGAUGACCAUCUUCCUAUCGACUGGUCCGGUAAUCUCCACCCUCCGAUCAGCCACAGCCUGCGGCACAGGAGCACACACCCACUCUCCUUCCCUAAUGUAUUUGGUUGUUGGAUCAAAACCCGGCAAACCGUCAUUAUUGUACCUCAUUUUGGCCUCUCUCCUGCACUCCACAGCAUACUUGAUAUGAUUCCUGAAUUCCCUCUGCAAACUAGCUACAAAUUGCAAAGCACCCCUAGUUAAAAUCUUGGAAAAUUCAGGAUCAUAUCUUCCCCUAAUGUCCACUCCUUCAGGUACAUCAUAACCUAUAAUUCCACUGCUCUUUUUUGGAACAGUGGUUUUGGGUUGAGUGAAUGUCUCUUCAAAGCUAGCCAUUUUUUCUUCUUUUUGGUAAUUUCAACUAACAGUUAAUGUACUUGUUUAUUUCUUUCUUUUUUUCUCUCUGAACAGUCUAGGUAGCUGAUGGCUGCAAUUUAUAGGGGGGAACAUGAGCUUUAGCUAGCGUUUCACUGUAAAUUUAAAAUUUAUUUUCAAAUAUCUGUUUAGCUAUGAAAUUUGAAGUCUAAUGUUAAGAUAUUUUCAAGUUAUUAAAAACUCGUUCAAAUUAGUCUUUAGAUUUUUGAGACUUCCCCUCACAAUUUAAAAAAAUUCAGUUGAAAUGCAUGUCCAAACACAAUUUAAAAAACUAAACUUUAAAAGUUUUAACUUCAAAAUUUAUGAUCAAACGGGAGCUUAACUUAAUGAAAUUUAUAAUAAUGUGGAUAGUUAAUGAUUGCAUGAUUUUCUUUCUUUUUUUUUAUUUUUGGUUCAAUAAAAGAAGAAUAAUAUGUGGAUAGCCAAAGAUUUCAUGAGUCCCCUUAUAAUAUAUUCAGCAAAGCUUAUCAAUAUGUGAUUGGUUGAAAGUCCCUUAUCUUUUUUUUUGUGUCCCCUUUAUUUAUUUGAUUUUAAUGUUUUGUCCCUUAGGAAAGCUUGAUGUAAUCGAUAAAGUUAUUGUCAUAUAAUCAGGAGGUAACAUAUUCAAUUUGUGGAAAUAGUCUCUUAUAAAAUAGUACAAGAUAAGACUACACACAAUAGAUAUUUACGAUCUGACCUUUUCCUAAACCAUAUUCAUAGCUAGACCUUGAAGGCACGGAUGAGUCAUUUUCAACUUUCAAAAGUCUUUUCCAAAUCCAAGGAGCCAAGUAGUAAAUUCGUCCAUCCCAGUGAGGGAUGCAGCUAGUCGAUAAUACAUUCAGAUCAUUCCAGUGCUUCGAGCAUAGAGUAUAUAGAAGAACAUGUGAUUCCAAUUAGUAGCAAAUUUACAUAUUAAAAAUGAGAUGCGUAAAUUUGCGUACUCUUUGUAAAAUUAGAUAUUUUAGGUAUGUAUUUUCUAAAAUUGAUAUAAAAUAUGUGUCUGCAUCUAAUAUCUAUGCUUUAAAAAAGCUAAUUGAUGCAUUUGGUUGAAUAUUGAGUUAUUUACACAGAGGACAAGCAAUCAAUUCCACUUGAUGCAUUUUUUCCGAGUUAAUAUCUCAGAUAGUCACUUAACUUUGAAUAAUUCACUUAUAAAGUCACUCAACUUUGAGUUAUGCACUUAGAAAGUCACUCAACUUUGUUUUAUAACUCAAAAGUCACUCAACUAUUAAUAUUCACUUUGAAAGUCAUCCAACAAAGUUAAAUAAUUUAUUCAUUAAAUUUUGUUGAAAUCUAAUUUUUAUUUUACACUGUUCUUUUAAGAAAUAAUAAGAUGUCUAUUUUAAUUAUCUUAUUAAUCCGCUCCAAUUAUUUAACUAAUUUUUUUUUUGAAAAACUUACAUUAGCAAUUGACGAAAAAAAUUGCUUUUCCAUUCUAGCAAUUGUCUUACAAGAAUUAAACAUGCUGGAAAAUUAUCCAAAAAAAGAAGAAGGUUAGAAUUGAUCAGAAGUAAUUAAAGAGUAAUCAAAAAGACGCACAAUAGCAAAAGGCAAUGUUUUAUUAUUUUUCAAGAAAAUAAUUUUAAAAAAAUUGUAUUCAACAAAAUUUAAUAAAAUAAUUAAAAUGAGUAUUUGUUUAUUUAUUUUUUUAAAAUUAGUUCAAAACAAAAAUUGUAUUUCAAUAAAAUUAAUGAAAAUAUUAUUUAAAUUAGUUGAGUGACUUUCUAAGUAAAAUAUCAAUAGUUGAGUGACUUUCUAAGUGAAAUGUCAAUAGUUGAAUGACUUUUGAGUUAUAUAAAACAAAGUUGAGUGACUUUCUAAGUAAACUACUCAAAGUUGAAUGAACUUCUAAGUAAACUAUUCAAAGUUAAGUGACCAUCUGAGAUAUUGUUUUCAUUUUUUCCUUUUUCUUUUAGUGGUGCACUUAUAUUCUAAAAAUUCUUAAUUCCUCUCUCGUUAUCCGAUUAUAAUAAGAAAAUAGGUCUGGAGACCAUAUAUAACAGAACACGUAAAUCAAAUUACAGUAAAAAAAAAAAAAAAAAACUUUGGAAACCAUAUAUAGAAGAAUACGUGAAUUCAAAUACAAUAAGAAGAAAGUCUGAAGAUUCAUAUUCUAAAAAUUCUAUAUUAGUCUUGAUUAUCCAAUAAGAAAAUAAGUUUGCUGGUACCAUAUACAGAAGACCAUGUGAACGGGGAUCAUAUGUAUGUCUUUUUUUUUCUUAAAUAUCGUGCUAAGUUAAAGAUUGUCACAUAAAAUAGGACGGAGGGAGUAAGAAAAUAAAGUCUUGGGGUGUGGGGUUGGGGAAGGGGACAUGACACUCCGAUUAUAGUAACAGAAAUAAUUCUUGUUGAGGAUUUAAAGAUAUAUAGAAGAACAUGGUGUACAAAGAAGAAGUACCCACAAAUGUGGCCCAUGAAUAUAUUAUGCCAGCUGCGAAGAAAUUUCCAGUCCACUAAAUUCACAAAUCUACAUGUGAUGGAGAGUGACAGCAACACAACCACACAAGAAACGAAACCGGACCUAUACACAACAACUACAAGGACGUAAAACUAUCUUUUACGUGUCAUAAAAGAUUGAUUCAUUCCUUAAAAAUACGAAUUUCCUUCAAACAAGUGGUAAGUUUUUUAUGAUAACAACUCGAUAUAUAUCAUCUAUUAACAAGAUAUUGUUAACGACUAAUUAUAAGUGUUCGGUUCUUCAAUUUAUAAUACGUGGAUAGCUAAUGAUUUCAUAGUUUUCUUUAAUAAUAUGUGGACUUUUUUUCUUUAUAAUAUGUGGAUAGCUAAUAAUAUCAUGAUUUUCUUUAUAAGAAUAUAAUUGGAAAAGCUUAUCGACAUGUACUUGAUAUGUACGUGCUUGGUACAAAAGACCAAAAGCUUAUCUAUCUAUGUGUGCUAGCUCUUUCAUUUGACCCUCUUUAUUUACUAUUUUAUUUUGAGGUUUUGUUGUUUUAUAAUCAUGCAUUUACUAUCACACCCAAGUUUUAUAUAUAUAGGGUUGUUUAAAAUUUGAAUAAUUCCAAUAAAAAAAUGAUUUAUUGUUAGUGAUUCGAUAACGGUGCGUGAGUAAUAAUUCGAUAAUUUUGUAGGUUCAUUAUGUUUUACUACUCAAGGUGUACAAUCAAAGCAUAAUCAGGUUGUUCCUUUCGUAUCAAACGCUAUUCUUACUUUACAAUUAAUCUUUCUAACAUCAUGUGCUACUAAUACUUUUCUAAACUGGUAGAUUAUAUCUAAUUUAAUCAGGCACAAAUUACUUGACAAUAUGAUGGUUCUUUGUUUCUUUCUGUUUAAUGCCCCUAGUAUUCUGAAUUCAGUAAAAACUUAACACAAGUAUCAAAGAACAUAUAUAUGCAUGUUCUUAUGCUAUGCACAUAGAGAAGACCAAGGCCCUUGAAAUUAAAAGGUUCACAUGUACUAGCACAAAAAAUGAACAGUUGUUUUUAUUAUUACAGGCAAAGACACAAUGUUGAUGACAUAUUGAUUAAAAAACAAAGCUGAAUAAGAGAGCCUUUGGAUAAUUAGCUAUCUCCUUAAAAGACAAGAUUUCAUUUCCUAUCAUUAUUGUUGGGAAGAUAGCAAUAGUCACAAUACAGAGCCACCUGAUUGAUCUCACAGCAUAAGCUGCGAAAUUUAGAGCCGGGACGAUUCAAUAGGAUGAUACAUGACAAUGUUAUUAUAGGCAUCAAGAGUCAGAAAAUCAUCCAAGACUGGUGCAGUGCACUGCCUUAUGAAUAAUUUGCAGGCCUCCUUAUACAUUCCCUUCUUGAAUUUCUCCUUUCCAACUUCUCUCUCAAUCCUAGCCAUUUCUUCUUCAACCACUCUUCCAAAUAGGUCUAAGUUCACUUUCACCCCAAGUCCAUCUCCAUCCAAUUCCACUCCAUAUUUCAGCCACUGCCAAUUCUGAACUCGGCUAAUCUCAGCUGUGGCAGCAUCCUCCAUGAGGUUGUAAAGUGGAACAGAGCCAGCCCCUGUCAGCCAAGCUGCCAAGUACUGAAUUCCCACUCGGGUGUUCAGCCGAAGGCCUUCCAUGGUUCGAACCCCUCUUGGACUCUGCAGAAGGUCUUCUUCAAUUAGUUUGGAUGCAUCUUGGCGCUUCAUGGAAUGGAUUUGAUUUGGAGCAUUGACCAUGUUGUUGGUAAAAACUUCCAUGCAGGCUGGAAUUAGGCCAGGGUGAGCUGCCCAUGUUCCAUCAUGCCCUGCCUUCACUUCUCUCAGCUUAUCUUUCCUUACAAGUUCCAAUGCUGCCUCGUUAGCUUCCGGAUCAUCUCUGAUUGGAAUUUGAGCUGCCUGUUUUAAGGGUACAACAAAGCCAUUAUGCAUCAAAUUGAUCAUGUAACAAAAUGACUCCAAAUUAACCUAAUGCAUGCUAAUGCUUCCUUGUCCAUUUAGUUGGCACUUAUGUCAUUUUAUUGAGAUCAUAGUCUUAGUAGUAAAAAUAUGUAAAGUUAAUAGCUAAUCCAUAAAUAUUGCCUUAGUUCGGGGUGGUUUCUAUAACUCAGAAACAUAAAGUUGGCAUCGUUAGUAAUCACAAUUUCACAGAUCAACAUGCCGUGGUGAACUAAAAAGAACAUAAGAUGGGAAAAAGGAGUUGAUAUUGGCAUACCAUGCCUCCCAUUGCAUGGACACCACGCUUAUGACAGGUGUGGAUGAGCAAAUCAGAGUAACUCCUCAUAAAGUGUUGAGCCAUGCCAACUUGAACUCUAUCAGGGAGCAAUCGAUCAGGGUGACCCUGGAAAGUCUUGACGUAGCUGAAAAUGUAAUCCCAUCUACCACAGUUGAGGCCAACAGAAUGGUCCCUCAGUUCAUACAAGAUUUCAUUCAUCUGAAACACUGCUGGAAGUGUUUCAAUCAGGACAGUGGCCCUAAUGCUUCCUUUCUCAAUUCCAGCCCAUCUCUCUGCCCUCUCAAACACAUUGUUCCAUAUUCUAGCUUCCCUGUCCAAACAAAACAAGAAUUGCUAAGGUCUCUUGGAAUAUAAUUCUCAAAGUUACUCAAAUUAACUAACAAGAACACAACUAACCUAAAAUGUUCCAUUUUGGGAAGAUAGAAAAAGGGUCCAAAUCCUUGUCCUUGGGCCUUGCGGAAGUUGGCAUAGUUGUGGAAAAAGUAGAGGCCAAAGUCGACAAG